ACUCAAAGGAAUUGACGGGGACCCGCACAAGUGGUGGAGUAUGUGGUUUAAUUCGACGAUCCGCGAGGAACCUUACCAAGGUUUGACAUCCAGCGAAUUCUUUGGAAACAGAGAAGUGCCUUCGGGAACGCUGAGACAGGUGAUGCAUGGUUGUCGUCAGCUCGUGCCGUGAGGUGUACCCUUAAGUGGGGUAACGAGCGCAACCCCUAUUCUAUGUUAAAUAUUCAUAGGAGACUGCCGAGGAUAACUCGGAGGAAGGUGGGGAUGACGCCAAAUCAGCAUGUCCCUUAUACCUUGGGCGACACACGUACUACAAUGGGAAGUACAACGGGACGCCAAGUCGUAAGACGGAGCUAAUCCUAUCAAAACUUCCCCCAGUUCGGAUUGAGGGCUGCAACUCGCCCUCAUGAAGUUGGAAUCACUAGUAAACGCGUAUCAGCCAUGGCGCGUUGAAUACGUUCUCGGGUCUUGCACACACCGCCCGU
RNAcentral lists this ribosomal RNA (485 nucleotides) under uncultured bacterium. RNAcentral describes it as "partial 16S ribosomal RNA". It matches the Rfam family "Bacterial small subunit ribosomal RNA", at positions 899 to 1397 of the family's 1533-position model. The record is from RNAcentral.